CGGGCAAUAGCGCAGCUGGUAGCGCGCGACGUUCGGGACGUUUAGGUCGCUGGUUCAAAUCCAGUUUGCCCGA
Molecule: transfer RNA, 73 nt
Filed under: Treponema sp.
Lineage: Bacteria; Pseudomonadati; Spirochaetota; Spirochaetia; Treponematales; Treponemataceae
Description: tRNA-Pro
Rfam family: tRNA
About the family: Transfer RNA (tRNA) molecules are approximately 80 nucleotides in length. Their secondary structure includes four short double-helical elements and three loops (D, anti-codon, and T loops).
Source: RNAcentral